AACGCUAGCUACAGGCUUAACACAUGCAAGUCGAGGGGCAGCACAAGGCAGCAAUGCUGAGGUGGCGACCGGCGCACGGGUGCGUAACGCGUAUCCAACCUUCCCGUUACUCAUGGAUAGCCUUCCGAAAGGGAGAUUAAUACAAGAUGGUGUUGAAAUUUCGCAUGUUAUUUCAACUAAAGAUUUAUCGGUAACGGAUGGGGAUGCGUGACAUUAGAUAGAUGGCGGGGUAACGGCCCACCAUGUCCACGAUGGAUAGGGGUUCUGAGAGGAAGGUCCCCCACACUGGAACUGAGACACGGUCCAGACUCCUACGGGAGGCAGCAGUGAGGAAUAUUGGUCAAUGGACGCAAGUCUGAACCAGCCAAGUAGCGUGAAGGAUGACUGCCCUAUGGGUUGUAAACUUCUUUUAUACGGGAAUAAAAGACAUUACGUGUAGUGUUUUGCAUGUACCGUAUGAAUAAGCAUCGGCUAAUUCCGUGCCAGCAGCCGCGGUAAUACGGAAGAUGCGAGCGUUAUCCGGAUUUAUUGGGUUUAAAGGGAGCGUAGGCGGGUUUUUAAGUCAGCUGUGAAAGUUUGAGGCUCAACCUUAAAAUUGCAGUUGAUACUGGAGACCUUGAGUGCGGUAAAGGUAGGCGGAAUUCGUGGUGUAGCGGUGAAAUGCUUAGAUAUCACGAAGAACUCCGAUUG
This 690-nucleotide ribosomal RNA is filed under the name uncultured fecal bacterium CF138. RNAcentral's name for it is "bacterial SSU rRNA". It matches the Rfam family "Bacterial small subunit ribosomal RNA", at positions 32 to 715 of the family's 1533-position model. Lineage: Bacteria; Pseudomonadati; Bacteroidota; Bacteroidia; Bacteroidales; Bacteroidaceae. The record is from RNAcentral.